CCGCCAUUUCCUGGUACCCAUCCUUGCUGGUGGUGUCUGCAAUCAGCGGGGCCCUGGCUGAGUUCACGGGAAAGGAAAUGGCUCAUUGCUUCAGCCUUUAGACCGGGGGGCAGGGAGGGCCUGUCGGGAGGCCGCCUAGUCAGGGGCGUGUCAGAGGCCAGAGGGGCCGGGGCCCAGCAGCUGGGGCUUGGUAAGCUCUGGAGCCUGGGCUCCAGGCCAGCUCGCUGCCAACCUCCACCUGAGACCACCCCACCCCCAACCCCCUUCCUUCUCUCCCCUGCUGCCGAGGCGCGCCCUUCCGGAGUGAAACUUUGGUUUCUCACGACCCGGAAGGCUUGAAGCAAACCUGCAAUUACUCACUGCCUGGUCUGUGCGGGCUGCAGCUCUCAGACUCAGGAUGAGGUGGCGGUGGCGCUGUCGACUGACUCCUUGGCUUGUUCAGGCUGUGCAACCUCAGUCUCUCCUCCGCGAUGGCUGCCCCUGUCUGCUCAUCCUCACCUGGCCUUCAGCAGGUGCUCAGCUGACAUCGGUGAGGGAAUGGGAGUGAUUCGUCAUCACAGUAACCGUGUACUUCAGAGAUGGGAUCUUUCUACGUCACCCAGGCUGGAAUGCAAUGGUUAUUCACAGGUGUGAUCAUAGCUGGUCUUGACCUCGUGGGCUCAAGUGAUCCUCCUGCCUCAGCCUCCUGAACAGCUGGGACUACAGGUGUGUGCCACCACAUUUGGCUUACCAUUAUUUUAGAAGGACUUACACCUGUCUUGCUAUCUGGAGUCUGCAGAUUUCUUACCCAAGGUAAGCUCAAGCAGGG
Molecule: long non-coding RNA, 808 nt
Filed under: Homo sapiens (human)
Lineage: Eukaryota; Metazoa; Chordata; Mammalia; Primates; Hominidae
Description: HSALNT0256077
Source: RNAcentral